AGUUAGGAAAUGCAAGUUCGGUAAUAUCGAAUUUGUUUGACAAAAGCUCCAGAGGAAGCCACGGCUAACUCUGUGCCAGCAGCCGCGGUAAUACAGAGGUGGCAAGCGUUGUUCGGAAUUAUUGGGCGUAAAGAGCACGUAGGUGGUUUUGUAAGUCAGAUGUGAAAGCCUUCUGUUCAACGGGGGAAUUGCAUCUGAAACUGCAAAACUUGAGUGUAGGAGGGGAGAGUGGAACUUCUGGU
This 242-nucleotide ribosomal RNA is filed under the name uncultured anaerobic ammonium-oxidizing bacterium. RNAcentral describes it as "partial 16S ribosomal RNA". It matches the Rfam family "Bacterial small subunit ribosomal RNA", at positions 441 to 674 of the family's 1533-position model. The record is from RNAcentral.